AUUAGAUACCCUGGUAGUCCGCACGGUAAACGAUGGAUGCCCGCCGUUGGGUAUUUUUAUUCAGCGGCCAAGCGAAAGCGUUAAGCAUCCCACCUGGGGAGUACGCCGGCAACGGUGAAACUCAAAGGAAUUGACGGGGGCCCGCACAAGCGGAGGAACAUGUGGUUUAAUUCGAUGAUACGCGAGGAACCUUACCCGGGCUUGAAUUGCAGAUGACGGAUCCAGAGAUGGUGACUUCCUUCGGGACAUCUGUGAAGGUGCUGCAUGGUUGUCGUCAGCUCGUGCCGUGAGGUGUCGGGUUAAGUCCCGCAACGAGCGCAACCCUUGUCACUAGUUGCUACGAAAGGGCACUCUAGUGAGACUGCCGGUGACAAACCGGAGGAAGGUGGGGAUGACGUCAAGUCCUCAUGGCCCUUAUGGGUAGGGCUUCACACGUCAUACAAUGGUCGGAACAGAGGGCAGCGAAGCCGUGAGGCGGAGCCAAUCCCAGAAAACCGAUCGUAGUCCGGAUUGCAGUCUGCAACUCGACUGCAUGAAGUCGGAAUCGCUAGUAAUCGCGGAUCAGCAUGCCGCGGUGAAUACGUUCCCGGGUCUUGUACACACCGCCCGUCAAGCCAUGGAAGCCGGGAGUGCCUGAAGUAUGCAACCGCAAGGAGCGUCCUAAGGUAAAACCGGUGACUGGGGCUAAGUCGUAACAAGGUAAC
This 704-nucleotide ribosomal RNA is filed under the name uncultured bacterium. Its description in RNAcentral is "bacterial SSU rRNA". It matches the Rfam family "Bacterial small subunit ribosomal RNA", at positions 777 to 1500 of the family's 1533-position model. The record is from RNAcentral.